UACUAAUGUGUUUAACAUGUGGGG
RNAcentral lists this non-coding RNA (24 nucleotides) under Cricetulus griseus (Chinese hamster). Lineage: Eukaryota; Metazoa; Chordata; Mammalia; Rodentia; Cricetidae. The record is from RNAcentral.